AUGAAUGAACCGCGGCACCGGGAGAAGCCCCGCCGAUACCCCGUGCCGCGUGCUCCGCCGGCGGGCAGCAGGGGGCCGCCAGCGCCCCGAACUCCGUCCAAGCUGCGGAGCCCAGGGCCGGAACGUAGAGCGCGGCUCCCGCUGCCCGGCACCUGCCCGCGGCUCCCCCCGCCCCGCCGCCAGCUCCAGCCUCCGAACCCUCCCGCCCACGGAGCCGCCGCCCGGCCCGGAGCCGCCCCGCACCUGUCCGACAGAAAAGGCUCCGGCGACCGCAGCGGAGCGACGCGGAUACACGCUGUGCCCCGUCCCGCCCGGACCCAGCGAACACUCCCAACCUUCUGCCCCUCGUUCUCCCCGGGACGGCUUCUUCCGUGCGCCGAUGACAGCUGCGCGCUGCGCAUGCGCCCGGCUCUCGCACGCCCGAGGUGGGGAGGACCGGGAGAGGGGAGCAGCGCGGAGGCCCAGCGGGAGGAACACGUGACGGGGACGGGCGGUCGCGUCACGUGCCCAGCGGCUGCCGGGGCCGGCACCGCCCCCGGGAGGAGCCGCUGCGGGCGGGAGGAUGCGCCGCGCUACGAGGGAAAAGAAGUAAAACAUUGGAGAGGAACCAGAGUGUUUUUACUGGGGAAGUGCUAGAAGUGACCUCCUAGAAUCGGGACAAACAGUCAUUCCCACUCCUGCCAGACUUGUUGACUGAUCCAGCACAUUAACCAAGCAGAAUGCUAAUCCAGAAAAAGAAAGAUGGUUUUCUUCACAGUCACCAUGAAGAAAUGGUUUGUGAAGAAAGGAACUGGAAACUCACAGCAGAGAAGAAGAGAUGGGAAAACGUAAAAGAGUGACAUGAUAGCAGUGAGAUAUAGUUGGGCUAAAAAUAAAACUACUCAGAUCUUGCA
This 893-nucleotide long non-coding RNA is filed under the name Coturnix japonica (Japanese quail). Its description in RNAcentral is "lncRNA (ENSCJPG00005003258.1)". Lineage: Eukaryota; Metazoa; Chordata; Aves; Galliformes; Phasianidae. The record is from RNAcentral.